UUAAGUUCAGCGGGUAGUCCUACCUGAUUUGAGGUCAAACAUUCAAAAUUUGUCUACAGAGAGACAGUUAGAAGCUGAACAAGACAGAGAGCAGCCCUAGGUGUAGAUAAUUAUCACACCAGUGACAGACCGCAAACGGUUCCGCUAAUGCAUUUCAGGGGAGCUGACCCAGCAAUAGGGCCAGCAGAAACCCCCAAGAU
RNAcentral lists this unclassified non-coding RNA (200 nucleotides) under Lepiota sp. RNAcentral describes it as "partial internal transcribed spacer 2". The record is from RNAcentral. Lineage: Eukaryota; Fungi; Basidiomycota; Agaricomycetes; Agaricales; Agaricaceae.